AAUAAAUAUCAGACAACAAGUGGCCGGUGAUGAACCGGCAUAAUAGGGAAACAGGUGUAAAUCCUGUGCGGUGCCGCCGCUGUAUAAGGGGAGAAGUCCUAUGUUACCACUGGGAAACCGGGAAGGUAAGGCCUUUGAUGAACCUUGAGCCAGAAGACCUGCUUGAUGCGUAUUCAUUGU
This 180-nucleotide non-coding RNA is filed under the name Oxobacter pfennigii. Lineage: Bacteria; Bacillati; Bacillota; Clostridia; Eubacteriales; Clostridiaceae. The record is from RNAcentral.